CCUACGGGAGGCUGCAGUGAGGAAUAUUGGUCAAUGGACGCAAGUCUGAACCAGCCAAGUAGCGUGCAGGAUGACGGCCCUCCGGGUUGUAAACUGCUUGUAGGGGGGAAUAAAAGGGGGCGCGUGAGCCCCGUAUUGUAUGGACCAUCAGAAAAAGGACGGGCUAAUUCCGGGCAAGCAGCCUCGGUAAUCCGGAAGGUCCGGGCGUUAUCCGGAUUUAUUGGGUUGAAAGGGAGCGUAGGCCGGCUUGUAAGUCAGCUGUGAAAGUCCGCGGCUCAACCGUGGAAUUGCAGUUGAAACUGGCGGCCUUGUGUGCACACCGGGAUGCCGUAAUUCAUGGUGUAGCGG
RNAcentral lists this ribosomal RNA (348 nucleotides) under uncultured bacterium. RNAcentral's name for it is "partial 16S ribosomal RNA". It matches the Rfam family "Bacterial small subunit ribosomal RNA", at positions 338 to 681 of the family's 1533-position model. The record is from RNAcentral.